Molecule: long non-coding RNA, 810 nt
Organism: Malaya genurostris
Lineage: Eukaryota; Metazoa; Arthropoda; Insecta; Diptera; Culicidae
Exons: 2
Source: RefSeq, a predicted model, not a curated record
GACGUGCUUUCUUCAGAAACCACCGCAUAAAACUUGUUUAUGUAGAAAAGCAAUAAACAAGGCAGCAAACAGUCUGAUGAAAUAAAGUUCAAUAAUACAACCUAGAAAAGUUUCUCAAAACAAAAAUUAUUUAUCCUUUUCUCUUUUGUUCCUAUACAUAACUAGCCUUAUCUUCCAACUGAAACAAUGAAGUUAUACAAACACUGAUAUAAUCGCACUCGCUAAUUUGAAACUGUUUUGGGAGACAGCCUGAAAACAUGGUUUAGCCAUUCUUUUACCUACAAGAUAAGAUAUUGUUUUCACUGCUAGCCUGGCGUAGUAGAAUAAUAAUUGGGUGGAUAGCGAUUGCUUGAGUGAGCUGUAACAGCAAGCGGGAAUUGCUGCAGGAACGGUAUCCAUGACAAUGUGUGUGAGCGACGCAGAUUGCGAGUUGGUGGAUAUUUACAGCUAUUUACCUACUGACUCAUUUUUUUACAAUAAGUUCAAAAGCAGAAUCCAGAUGGUGGCUGCUUUGCACAGAACGAUCGGAUGUUUUCGCACACUUUGCUGGUAGUGUCAGUAAAGUCUAACAGUGUCAGUUGUACUAACCUACAAACUCGGAAUGACCAAGCGAUUUGAUAAAUUAUUAUUCCCAGCAAGUGAUCUACAUCGGGAAAACGCGAUCUGUCAUACUUUUGAACAAAAGGAUAAAUUCAAGGCAGAAAACCACAUAAAAGAUGUCUUCCGAGAGCACACAUUGUCCUCGAAUUUGAUCUAACAUCCACAAUAAUUUAUUAUAUAAUUGAAACAAGAAAACACCCUUAAAAAUCA